This 491-nucleotide ribosomal RNA is filed under the name uncultured bacterium. RNAcentral's name for it is "partial 16S ribosomal RNA". It matches the Rfam family "Bacterial small subunit ribosomal RNA", at positions 29 to 507 of the family's 1533-position model. The record is from RNAcentral.
AGUGAACGCUGGCGGUAGGCCUAACACAUGCAAGUCGAACGGCAGCACAGUAAGAGCUUGCUCUUACGGGUGGCGAGUGGCGGACGGGUGAGGAAUACAUCGGAAUCUACUUUUUCGUGGGGGAUAACGUAGGGAAACUUACGCUAAUACCGCAUACGACCUACGGGUGAAAGCAGGGGAUCUUCGGACCUUGCGCGAUUGAAUGAGCCGAUGUCGGAUUAGCUAGUUGGCGGGGUAAAGGCCACCAAGGCGACGAUCCGUAGCUGGUCUGAGAGGAUGAUCAGCCACACGGGAACUGAGACACGCUCCAGACCCCAACGGGAGGAGGCAGUGGGAAAUUUUGAACAAGGGGCGCAAGCCGGACCCAGCCAUACCGGGGGGGGGAAGAAGGCCUUGGGGUUUUAAGCCCUUUUUGUGGGAAAAAAAAAGCAGCAGGUUAAUCCCCCGCUGUUCUGACGGUACCCAAAGAAAAAGCCCCGGCUAACUUCGUG